AGUCGGAUAAUCGCGCUUAGAGUAAUUUAAGUGAGGAAAGUCCGUGCAUCCCAGAACAGGCCGCCGGAGAAACUCCGGGCGUCGUGAGGCGGCGGAUAGUGCCACAGAAAUGUAGACUGCCGAUGGAUUAAACGGGUAAGGGGAAACCCUCACCUUAACCCUCUUCUAAAGAAAGAGGGAAAUCACAGGCGAUGGUGCAACGGUGAGUUAAGAGCUUCACCGGUGAAGUCGGAAGGCUUCAGCCAGGUAAACCCCGGUCGGAUGCAAGAUUGAGUCGAAGGUUAUAAAGGUUGUUCGCCAACUUCGGAAAAAAUCGCUAGAGUUUAGGAGUAAUCCUAUCCCCAGACAGAUGAUUAUCUAAAACAGAACACGGCUUACGGACUGCUUUA
This 389-nucleotide RNase P RNA is filed under the name pig gut metagenome. RNAcentral describes it as "Bacterial RNase P class A". It matches the Rfam family "Bacterial RNase P class A". Rfam says of the family: Ribonuclease P (RNase P) is a ubiquitous endoribonuclease, found in archaea, bacteria and eukarya as well as chloroplasts and mitochondria. Its best characterised activity is the generation of mature 5'-ends of tRNAs by cleaving the 5'-leader elements of precursor-tRNAs. Cellular RNase Ps are ribonucleoproteins. The record is from RNAcentral.